GUGUUGUAGAGAGAGGAAACGUUUCGCCAGGAGACAUGUUCAUGGUCAUUUACCCUGGAUCUGGAUCCUCUCAGCUCAUCCUCUCCUUGCUAAGAAUUUCAUUUACCUUCUCUCUCUGUGUAAUUAAUCAUUGACUACUAGUGGGGGAUACCCUGGUGCACUGAAACAAUAAAGAGGAAAGUGCAAUGUAAUUUAAGCUUUUCACAUAAAAAAGAUAGUGUAAUUUACUCUAACAACUAAAAGAAAAAAUGGCUAAUCACACUUCAGGUAACUAGAAGUAACUUAGCGACUUAGCGUUGAUGUUCCUUCGCAUUGCCUGUUUGAGUCUACUCUUAUUACUAUUUGAUUUACCAGGUUAUAUAUGCUAUGGUUCAGAAUCAUAUAUUGAGACAGAUAUGCAGCGCAACACUAGGUCACAGGAAAGAUAACAUUUGUUGAAUCCAUUCUUUAGAGAGGCCAAGCUUAGCAAAAGGUGAAAAUGAUUUUGGGGGACUGAAGCUAUUCCUUCUUUGGAGUCAGCUCAGCUUAUAUAAACAAACCCCUUCACAUGUUUUUUGAGGUUGGCUGACAAUGUGAAAGAGUGACGGGAUUUAUUUUCCACUCCUGGCAUUGAACUUGAAGAUUUUUUGUAAUGUGCAUGUAAAUGAAUGAUACUCCAGAAAACAUAAAGAGUGAAAAUAUGGUUCCAUUAUUUGUCAAUAACUGAUUAAUUAUGUGAUUUUUUGCUCCAACUUUUUUUUAAAGCAUUUUUGGGUCUUGUUAGGGUACACUUUAAGCACCUUAAACAGUAGUAAGUUUUGAUGAAAUUGUUAUUAAAAUGUGUGA
This 825-nucleotide long non-coding RNA is filed under the name Trifolium pratense (red clover). RNAcentral describes it as "long non-coding RNA (TPRA_LNC007091)". Lineage: Eukaryota; Viridiplantae; Streptophyta; Magnoliopsida; Fabales; Fabaceae. The record is from RNAcentral.